RNAcentral lists this small RNA (83 nucleotides) under Mytilus galloprovincialis (Mediterranean mussel). The record is from RNAcentral. Lineage: Eukaryota; Metazoa; Mollusca; Bivalvia; Mytilida; Mytilidae.
ACUGUAAAAAAAAAAAUAUCAGUAUAUUUGUGCAAAGAGUCACCUCUUUGAACAAAUAUACUGAUACUCUUUUUUUCAGUAGU